UUCCAGACUCCUACGGGAGGCAGCAGUGAGGAAUAUUGGUCAAUGGCCGAGAGGCUGAACCAGCCAAGUCGCGUGAGGGAAGACGGCCCUACGGGUUGUAAACCUCUUUUGUCGGGGAGCAAAGCGAACCACGUGUGGUUCAUUGAGAGUACCCGAAGAAAAAGCAUCGGCUAACUCCGUGCCAGCAGCCGCGGUAAUACGUAGGUGGCAAGCGUUGUCCGGAUUUACUGGGUGUAAAGGGCGUGCAGCCGGAGAGACAAGUCAGAUGUGAAAUCCACAGGCUCAACCUGUGAACUGCAUUUGAAACUGUUUCCCUUGAGUAUCGGAGAGGUCAUCGGAAUUCCUAGUGUAGCGGUGAAAUGCGUAGAUAUUAGGAAGAACACCAGUGGCGAAGGCGGAUGACUGGACGACAACUGACGGUGAGGCGCGAAAGCGUGGGGAGCAAACAGGAUUAGAUACCCGAGUAUA
Molecule: ribosomal RNA, 468 nt
Filed under: uncultured bacterium
Lineage: Bacteria
Description: bacterial SSU rRNA
Rfam family: Bacterial small subunit ribosomal RNA
Source: RNAcentral